This 676-nucleotide ribosomal RNA is filed under the name uncultured bacterium. Its description in RNAcentral is "bacterial SSU rRNA". It matches the Rfam family "Bacterial small subunit ribosomal RNA", at positions 1 to 668 of the family's 1533-position model. The record is from RNAcentral.
CCCUUAGAGUUUGAUCCUGGCUCAGAUUGAACGCUGGCGGCAGGCCUAACACAUGCAAGUCGAGCGGUAGCACAGGAGAGCUUGCUCUCUGGGUGACGAGCGGCGGACGGGUGAGUAAUGUCUGGGAAACUGCCUGAUGGAGGGGGAUAACUACUGGAAACGGUAGCUAAUACCGCAUAACGUCUUCGGACCAAAGUGGGGGACCUUCGGGCCUCACGCCAUCAGAUGUGCCCGGAUGGGAUUAGCUAGUAGGUGGGGUAAUGGCUCACCUAGGCGACGAUCCCUAGCUGGUCUGAGAGGAUGACCAGCCACACUGGAACUGAGACACGGUCCAGACUCCUACGGGAGGCAGCAGUGGGGAAUAUUGCACAAUGGGCGCAAGCCUGAUGCAGCCAUGCCGCGUGUGUGAAGAAGGCCUUCGGGUUGUAAAGCACUUUCAGCGAGGAGGAAGGGUUCAGUGUUAAUAGCACUGUGCAUUGACGUUACUCGCAGAAGAAGCACCGGCUAACUCCGUGCCAGCAGCCGCGGUAAUACGGAGGGUGCAAGCGUUAAUCGGAAUUACUGGGCGUAAAGCGCACGCAGGCGGUUUGUUAAGUCAGAUGUGAAAUCCCCGCGCUUAACGUGGGAACUGCAUUUGAAACUGGCAAGCUAGAGUCUUGUAGAGGGGGGUAGAAUU